AGUUACUGGGCAGGAGUAGUAACCAGACUAAAUCGGGUACGUUUUUUAUCCGGCCGUGUCAAUACUGCCCCCUAGCCCUAACAGGUUAAAAUGUGUUUUUAUAUGACAGAAUGUUAAAACUAGAUGAAGUUAUAGUUAUGAAUAUAAACUGGUAAUGAGGUGUAGUUUUAGUUAUGAAUAUUACCUGGUAAUGAGGUGUGGUUUUAGUUAUGAAUAUAAACUGGUAAUGAGGUGUAGUUUUAGUUAUGAAUAUUAGCUGGUAAUGAGGUGUAGUUUUAGUUAUGAAUAUUAACUGGUAAUGAGGUGUAGUUUUAGUUAUGAAUAUUAGCUGGUAAUGAGGUGUAGUUUUAGUUAUG
This 356-nucleotide long non-coding RNA is filed under the name Salmo salar (Atlantic salmon). RNAcentral describes it as "lncRNA (ENSSSAG00000097895.1)". The record is from RNAcentral. Lineage: Eukaryota; Metazoa; Chordata; Actinopteri; Salmoniformes; Salmonidae.